CCGCUCGUUGCAAGGCUUCCAGUCAGUUGGCUGGAGAACGAAAGUGGGCAGGGAGGAAGUCAGAAGGGAAAGGGAAAGAGCGAGCCGAUUCUGCUUGCGGGAACAUUCGCCUGGCCGGCUGGGAUGCCCCCCCAGGGGGCGGUGCCCUUUUCCCGGCGACCUCCGGGAGCGGGGCGGGGCCGGGUUUGUUUCCAUUUUGAAAACCCGGGCGCGGGCGGCGGUGGAGCUGAGCUUCCCGGGAGGGGCGAGGUCCAGGGAGGCGGGGCAGCUGAGCGCCCUCUGCCGGGUUUUCCGAGUUCGCGGUCACCCUUCCCUGCGUUGGGGUGGCAGUCCGUUGAUUUGACCUCAAUAUAGAGACCCUUAGCAUGUGUGUGGGCCCACAAGAUCCUUGCUGAAAAAGAGAAGACAUCACUGUAAGAGACCAGGGCCCUCUGAUGGCCCCUGAAAGCGCAGGGUUCCCAGCCAGACUUGACUGUCCUGUGCUUUGGACUUAUCCUUGGGAAUGGAACUCCAGAGGUAGGAUUGAAGGCAGCAACAAGGAACCAGACUCAUAGGGGGCUCAGAAAUAUUCCCUUGCUUUGAAUGUCCUCCAUCUGGAAGAGUUUAGCUAAUUAAACCAAAGAUCACGGAUGAGUUGGCCCCAUUUAUCUCCAAUGGAUGAAAUCCUUUUCUCUCCAGAGGAUUCUUCAGACAAAUAUCAAGGCAGUCCCUUGCUUCACCCAGUGGGCCUUCCGAUCUCUUCCUUAGCAAGGCAAUGUGGUGCUGAGCACCAGAAAAUUCCCAGGGAGAGCCUCUGCCAAAAUGCAAAACCAAGGAAAAAGGAUGAAAGCAACAGUUUUGGACCAGGGCUGGCAGAAAUGGUAAACCCAAUCUGCCAUAUUUGCUUUUUCUUAAUCUAAAAUAACAGAGAUAACAUACACAAUGGACUUUCUAACUUGCCACUUUUCCCUUAUCUUUUUUCCCUUUGUGAGCCUAAGACAUCGUGUUCUUUCAUAUAACCUCUCUCUCUCUCAAAAAAACAAAAAAAACAAAAAAACAAAAAAAACAAAAAAAAACCCAACAACAACAAAAACAAAAAACCCUUGGCCAUUCCGUUCCCUGCCGCCCAUGGAGAAGAACAGACUCUAUCUGAUAUUUCAGCUGGAAGGCAGGGUGGCAGAUUCUUUCCAAUGGGGUGGCGACUUCCUCCCUACUCUCAGAACACACCCCUUCCCAAAAAUACGCCCUCCUGGGCAAGCAGCACAAAGGGAAUGUCAGCAAAUGCCCACAUCCCUUCCUUUUCCUUUUACACCCAGUGGCCUGGGAAUGGCGGGCACGCUCGGGGAAUGCACACCACCAAUCGGUGUGCGGCCCCAUGGGGCCUGUAAAGCGGCCUUGCUCUCAUCUCUUGCCCUCUUGGGCCAUCUUCCAAACCAACUGCCAGAAGGGAUUGUCCUAAAACGCAAAUCUGAUCAUUUCAUUUCAUCUACUUAAGAACUUGCCGUGGCCUUUUGGCCCACAAUGAGGGUUCCCAAACUCCUGCCUGAGGUCUAUGCCAGCUAUAUAAGAAGCAUUGUAUUCAGAUGUAGUUUCUAGAGUUUAGGUUAGAACCUGGGGAUCUGCCUAUGUUAGCCUGAAUUCUUUAGGUUGGUAAGUGACAGUAACUCAUCUCAAACUAGCUUAGGUCAAAAAAGGAAUCUAUUAUUUCUUCUGACAAGGAAGUUUAGGGGGUAAAAUGAUCUCAAUUAUAUCUGUGAGAUUUUAAUUUAUGGAGGUGACUAAAUGAUGAUGUGGAGACGUCAAUACCAUUGAAAGACUAACGUAUUGAUUAAUUUCCUAAGAGGAGAGGGUAUGCUAUGCCACACAGGACCAUUUGGGGAAGCACGAGGUGGAAGGGAGCGGGGGUGGAGUGGGAUCGUUGAGGGGGCGUAGACCACAGCCUUUGUUGGGAUUCCUGCAGGACAGGCAAGGCAGUUUAGGACUAGCUAGUUUGAAUAAAUCAGGUGGCCUUUGGGGGAUAACAACUGUACCUGGUAGUCUGUUACCGGGCCCUGGGUUGAUUUAGGGCAGGGGACAUGACGUCUUGGUGGUGUGAAUUCCCUGACGGAGGUCACUUCAGAGUAUCAACUCUGGAUCUCAGGGGAGAUGUAAACAACUUCAGCUGUUACUUUGGGUGCCAAAGAGACCAAUGUAGAAUCUAAGAAAACACAAUUAGAACAAGAGCUGGCUUCAGUGGGAAUGGCUUUAGAGGUGUGCUAAUAAUGCAGCCACGAGCUACAUGUGGCUGUUGAACACUUAGAACGUGGGUAACACAAACUGAAAUGUGACGGAGGUGUGAAACACAUGCCGGCUUUCAGACAGCAUAACGAAGAGAAAACUUGUAUAGCCCAGUGAUUUGACAAUUCUGUGCGUUGCUCAAUGCUCACCAGCAUCGGUGUGGUUGCCAUCUGUCACCCGCAACAUUAUUACAGUAUUAUCGACUAUAUUUCCUAUGCUGUAAAAAACAAAACAAAACAAAAAAACCCUGU
This is a long non-coding RNA of Leopardus geoffroyi (Geoffroy's cat), 2507 nucleotides long. RefSeq lists it as uncharacterized. Lineage: Eukaryota; Metazoa; Chordata; Mammalia; Carnivora; Felidae. The transcript is spliced from 6 exons. The record is from RefSeq and is a predicted model, not a curated record.